GAUGAACGCUGGCGGCGUGCCUAAUACAUGCAAGUCGAGCGAACAGAUGAGGAGCUUGCUCCUCUGACGUUAGCGGCGGACGGGUGAGUAACACGUGGAUAACCUACCUAUAAGACUGGGAUAACUUCGGGAAACCGGAGCUAACACCGGAUAAUAUAUUGAACCGCAUGGUUCAAUAGUGAAAGACGGUUUUGCUGUCACUUAUAGAUGGAUCCGCGCCGCAUUAGCUAGUUGGUAAGGUAACGGCUUACCAAGGCAACGAUGCGUAGCCGACCUGAGAGGGUGAUCGGCCACACUGGAACUGAGACACGGUCCAGACUCCUACGGGAGGCAGCAGUAGGGAAUCUUCCGCAAUGGGCGAAAGCCUGACGGAGCAACGCCGCGUGAGUGAUGAAGGUCUUCGGAUCGUAAAACUCUGUUAUUAGGGAAGAACAAAUGUGUAAGUAACUAUGCACGUCUUGACGGUACCUAAUCAGAAAGCCACGGCUAACUACGUG
Molecule: ribosomal RNA, 497 nt
Filed under: uncultured bacterium
Lineage: Bacteria
Description: partial 16S ribosomal RNA
Rfam family: Bacterial small subunit ribosomal RNA
Source: RNAcentral